AAACAAGCUGACAUAUUCUAGUCCAUGUGCAAGUGGUCAGGCCACGAGGCCUCUGUUUAGAAAGAAGACCCCCCGGUAACACCAGCUGAAUGAGCUCUCAGCAGAAAUAACAAGCAGCAGCGCACAAACCGAGGCCCAGAGCUGAGAACACAAGCAGUGGUCCACGAGCCCAGGGACGAGGAAUUCUAAUGCGAUCUGCAGAUGUUUCUUGCCUCGGCUUUCACAGAGCUGACAAGGCAUUUCGCUUAGCGAGAGGUAAUCACCAGGUUGUGUUCUGCACAGUGUCUACCUGUCUCACUGCUAAUUAGUUGUUUAAGGCCUGAACCCUGGUCUCCCAUUUGAAAUCAGUGGAAAUAGUCUCCUUGAAUUGUACUAUCUAGGUUUGAUCCUGUAAGAGCCUUUGAUUUAUGGGGCUGCUACUGGUUUCAGCGAGCAUUCUGCUGCCACAGAGCUUCCAAGAAGAGUCUCACGCUGUGGCAGAGAGCUUGCAUGUUAAUUCUGUGGCAUGUUUUGGUUUGCUUUUUAAUUUUUAUAAUGAAUGGCUGGAGUGUUGCUGUGCUUGUAUAAAAGAUAAGUACUGGAGUUAAAAACAUAAAACAGGUCACUAUCUCAAGAGCAACUAACCACUUCUGCGUGACCAAUUUUGCAAUAUACUUAAAGAAACGCUAUUUUCAAAAGACUAAUAAAUUGCAACAACAUAUUUGUGACAAUACGAGAAGCAUUCACUUACCAUCUUGGGCACUGACAGAACGCUCUAGGUUCAGGAACUGUACAGCCUGGUUGACUCAUCUCUGUAAGAAUAAUAAGUGGGGUUAUGUUCUUCACAUGAGUGUUAUGAGAUUUUUUUUCUUCUUGAAUGUUAG
Oxyura jamaicensis (ruddy duck) is the source of this 863-nucleotide long non-coding RNA. RefSeq lists it as uncharacterized. The transcript has 4 exons. The record is from RefSeq and is a predicted model, not a curated record. Lineage: Eukaryota; Metazoa; Chordata; Aves; Anseriformes; Anatidae.